This is a non-coding RNA of Podarcis lilfordi (Lilford's wall lizard), 71 nucleotides long. The record is from the annotation of a GenBank genome assembly. Lineage: Eukaryota; Metazoa; Chordata; Lepidosauria; Squamata; Lacertidae.
UGAUAGCUCAGUUGGUAUAGCAUGAGACUCGUAAUCUUACGGUCGUGGGUUUGAGCCCCACAUUGGAAAAA